GUAUUUUUGGGUUGUUAUUUUGAUUAUUAGAAAAUUUAUUCCUAGUAGUUUGAGCGAAAGGUGUUGGUUUCCUAGAGAGGAUUUAGUACUGAGAAGGAAAGUUUAGUUAUUUUUUUAGAAUAUUAGGUUGAUUAGUACCUUUUGUAUUAGGGUUAAUUUAUGUGUUUUUGCUUUUGUUAUGUCUCGAUGAGUAUCGGGCUAUUUUUCCUUAUUGUAUUCUCGUUGUAUAGAGUUAAAUAGGGGAUUAUAGUUAUGAAAUAUUAUUCAAGUUUCUUUUUAUCUAGUUCUUUAAGAAAUUUAAUAGUUGGUAUUAUUAUUAUGACGAUAAACAGGGAUUAGCUUGUUUAUUUUUUAUAUUUUAUUGUGGUUGAAGUUUGUUUGUUAAGUUGAUAGUGCUUGUUUAAAUGGAGUUAUUAUUGAGCAGGUUGUCUAUAUUAUUUUUUGGUUUUGUUUUUGUAUUGGGGUUAUGUUAUGAAUUUUUAGUGGUUUGUAAUAAUGAUUAUAUUAGUAAUAAUUUUUAUUGGGGUGUUGUUUAUUUUGUUCUGGUUUUUUGUUAAAUGGGUAGUACUUUAAAUUAGAGUUAAUGAAUUAGGCAAGGAGGAUUUCUGACUGUUUAGCAAAGACAUUGUUUUUUGUUGUGGUAAAAAAUAAGUUCUGUCCACUGCUAUUAGGUGAAGGGCUGCAGUAUUUUGACUGUAUGAAGGUAGCAUAAUCAUUAGCUUCUUAAUUAGAAGCUGGUAUGAAGGUGAAACAGGGGUUUGCUGUAUUUUUUCUAUUUUUUGAAUUUAAUUUUCAUGUGAAAAAUCGUGAUUGGGUUAAUGGGACAAGAAGACCCUAAUAAGUUUUAUUUUUUUGUUUAAUGCGUGUAUAGGCUUUUAUUUGUGCAAUUUAUUUGGGGGAGUUUGGCUGGGGCGGCAGUUUAUUUGACAUAGAUUAAUUUUUAACCUUUUGAGGCGUUAUUUGGACCUAGAUUGUUUAGAUUAGUGUAUAACUACUGUAGGGAUAACAGCGUGAUUUUUUUUGAGAGUUCUAAUUGACAAUAAAGUUUGCGACCUCGAUGUUGGAUUAAGAAGAGCGUUGGCGAAGUAGUUGAUGUUUUGUCUGU
Molecule: ribosomal RNA, 1105 nt
Filed under: Brachoria splendida
Lineage: Eukaryota; Metazoa; Arthropoda; Diplopoda; Polydesmida; Xystodesmidae
Description: partial large subunit ribosomal RNA
Source: RNAcentral